RNAcentral lists this ribosomal RNA (462 nucleotides) under uncultured bacterium. Its description in RNAcentral is "bacterial SSU rRNA". It matches the Rfam family "Bacterial small subunit ribosomal RNA", at positions 335 to 792 of the family's 1533-position model. The record is from RNAcentral.
ACUCCUACGGGAGGCAGCAGUAGGGAAUAUUGGUCAAUGGGCGAAAGCCUGAACCAGCCAUGCCGCGUGUCAGAUGAAGGUCCUCUGGAUUGUAAAUGACUUUUCUACGGGGAAGAAUGAGCCGUCUGCGGACGGAAGUUGACGGUACCGUAGGAAUAAGCACCGGCUAACUACGUGCCAGCAGCCGCGGUAAUACGUAGGGUGCAAGCGUUGUCCGGAUUUACUGGGUUUAAAGGGUACGUAGGCGGUUGUGCCAAGUCUGGGGUGAAAGUUUGCAGCUCAACUGUAAAAUUGCCUUGGAUACUGGUCGGCUAGAGUAGUGGAGCGGUGGCUGGAAUUUAUAGUGUAGCGGUGAAAUGCUUAGAUACUAUGAGGAACACCAAUUGCGAAGGCAGGUCACUGGUCACUAACUGACGCUGAGGUACGAAAGUGUGGGAUCAAACAGGAUUAGAUACCCUGGUA